ACACUGUUCAUGGGUUACCGCGGCUGCUGGCACGGAGUUAGCCGGUGCUUCUUCUGUGAGUGAUGUCCUUCCUGCCGGCUAUUAACCCGCAGGCCUUCUUCCUCACUGAAAGUGCUUUACAACCCGAAGGCCUUCUUCACACACGCGGCAUGGCUGGAUCAGGGUUGCCCCCAUUGUCCAAUAUUCCCCACUGCUGCCUCCCGUAGGAGUCUGGGCCGUGUCUCAGUUCCCCAGUGUGGCUGGAUCAUCCUCUCAGACCAGCUACGGGAUCGUCGCCUUGGUGAGCCGUUACCUCACC
RNAcentral lists this ribosomal RNA (298 nucleotides) under uncultured bacterium. RNAcentral describes it as "partial 16S ribosomal RNA". The record is from RNAcentral.